RNAcentral lists this ribosomal RNA (449 nucleotides) under uncultured bacterium. RNAcentral describes it as "partial 16S ribosomal RNA". It matches the Rfam family "Bacterial small subunit ribosomal RNA", at positions 29 to 523 of the family's 1533-position model. The record is from RNAcentral.
AGCGAACGCUGGCGGCAGGCCUAACACAUGCAAGUCGAACGAACUCUUCGGAGUUAGUGGCGGACGGGUGAGUAACACGUGGGAACGUGCCUUUAGGUUCGGAAUAACUCAGGGAAACUUGUGCUAAUACCGAAUGUGCCCUUCGGGGGAAAGAUUUAUCGCCUUUAGAGCGGCCCGCGUCUGAUUAGAUAGUUGGUGAGGUAAAGGCUCACCAAGGCGACGAUCAGUAGCUGGUCUGAGAUGAUGAUCAGCCACAUUGGGACUGAGACACGGCCCAAACUCCUACGGGAGGCAGCAGUGGGGAAUCUUGCGCAAUGGGCGAAAGCCUGACGCAGCCAUGCCGCGUGAAUGAUGAAGGUCUUAGGAUUGUAAAAUUCUUUCACCGGGGACGAUAAUGACGGUACCCGGAGAAGAAGCCCCGGCUAACUUCGUGCCAGCCGCCGCGGUAA